UGAGUAACCUGCCCUUAACUCUGGGAUAAGCCUGGGGAAACUGGGUCUAAUACCGGAUAUGACUCCUCAUCGCAUGGUGGGGGGUGGAAAGCUUUAUUGUGGUUUUGGAUGGACUCGCGGCCUAUCAGCUUGUUGGUGAGGUAAUGGCCCACCAAGGCUUCGACGGGUAGCCGGCCUGAGAGGGUGACCGGCCACACUGGGACUGAGACACGGCCCAGACUCCGUACGGGAGGCAG
RNAcentral lists this ribosomal RNA (236 nucleotides) under uncultured bacterium. RNAcentral's name for it is "partial 16S ribosomal RNA". It matches the Rfam family "Bacterial small subunit ribosomal RNA", at positions 118 to 351 of the family's 1533-position model. The record is from RNAcentral.